AAGAAGAAGAAGAAGAAGAAGAAGAAGAGAGGAGAAGAAAAGAAGGGAAGAGAGAGAAAUUGCCAUAGAGAUUGAUUUGCUUGGGAGAUUGCUAGAGGAUUCAGCAAAAAGGAAUCUCUAAUAGCCGUGAGAAAGAUUCCUCGGCACCAGAAGAGAUUGUGGGCCCUGAUUUUCACGAUGAGGAGAGCAGUCAGCUGUAUUCAGAGCAUGAUGAUGUGGUUAUGGAUCAGUUGGCUUGUAUUCCGGAUUUUGUUGAUUUCAGCCAUGGGCAUGACUGCGAAUGUGAUGAUUGUAUAUACAGUGGAUAAAAAUAUUGAGGACUGAUGUAGUUGAUUAUCCUUUUGGCGUAUAUAUGUAGAUAGUGGUGGAAAUCAAUUUUUGUUGAUAUAGGUUAGAGGGUAAAACUUUUGUUGGAAGAUAUUUUGUGAAAAUAUUUGUUUUAG
Macadamia integrifolia is the source of this 443-nucleotide long non-coding RNA. RefSeq lists it as uncharacterized. The record is from RefSeq and is a predicted model, not a curated record. NCBI's taxonomy places the organism in Eukaryota, Viridiplantae, Streptophyta, Magnoliopsida, Proteales, Proteaceae. The transcript has 3 exons.